Long non-coding RNA from Hemibagrus wyckioides, 2591 nucleotides. RefSeq lists it as uncharacterized. Lineage: Eukaryota; Metazoa; Chordata; Actinopteri; Siluriformes; Bagridae. The transcript has 3 exons. The record is from RefSeq and is a predicted model, not a curated record.
UGAGAGAGAGAGAGAGAGAGAGAGAGGCAGACAGACAGAGAGAGAGAGAGAGAGAGAGAGAGAGAUUUGCAUUAGGCCAAGUGGUAAAUUUUAAAUUAUUCACAUUUUUCCACGUUUUCUUUUUUUCCUCUUUUGUGUCCAUGGAGGAAACCACUCUCUAUUCCCUCAGUGCUUCAGUGUACACCAUGGAGCAGACGAACUACAUGUUUGAGAGAUUUUGAGAGAAAAUAAAUUAGAACGGUUUUAAUGGAACUGAGUGUUUUAAUGCGCCGCACCUGAGCGCCUUCCACCUGGGCUCGUCGUAGCUUCUUCACGCAUGCGCGUUCACCUGCCUGGAGCACAUCCACAGAGAGACUGGAGAUUCCGCCAUGUUUGUUAUGCGAUGAUUCCCAUGCUCUAAGCCGAAACCAAGGAAUAUGAGAAAAUCUGCCUCAGGGUUCCAUGUGCUCUGCAUGUUGAGAUGUUUUUCUGCUCACCACCGCUGUGAAGAACGUACAAGGUACAAUAGCCUUCCUGCCAGCUCAGUCAAGUCUAACCAGUCUCCCAUGACCCUCUCUCAUCAGCAAGUCCCUGAAGGAAAGGAUGUUUUUUGGGGUUUUUUGCACACCAAAUCCCAGGAAAUCAACUCAAGGCUUCACUGUCUGGAACCAACAACCAUGUCAUAGUCAAAUGUCUUUCAUGUGAACAUUAACUGAUCUGGAGCUGUAUGAUUUUAUGCAUUGAACUACUUCCAUGUGAUUGGCUGAUUUGAUCAUUGCAUUAAUAAGCAGGUGUUCCUAAUAAAGUGGCUGAUGAAUGUAUCUUGCUUUUUUUUGUUUUUCUGGUUGUCAUUUUAAAAGAAAACACCAACAUGUUUGUUUGGGGUUGUGGUAAAAAGCAAUGGUGCUGCCGUGUGUAUAGUUGAGGGCUGAAUCAGGCGUGGUAUCGGGUGAAUCGGGCGUGGCAUCAGGCGAAUCGGGCGUGGCAUCAGGCGAAUCGGGCGUGGCAUCGGGCGAAUCUGGCGUGGUAUCGGGCGAAUCGGGUGUGGUAGCGGGCGAAUCUGGCGUGGUAUCGGGCGAAUCGGGCGUGGUAGCGGGCGAAUCGGGCGUGGUAGCGGGCGAAUCGGGUGUGGUAAAAGGGUGUGAGUAUGGUGGAAAGAUGUUUGAAGAUGGCGAUAAAGUUGGGAACAGAAUAUUGUUGCUGAAUUCCCUAUAUAUGCAAAGAAAGCCAACAGUCUUCCUUCAAGUUAACUAACCCUGUCUGUUCACCUGUCCUGAGCUCGCCCUUUGGACAGACUCUUGGCCAACCGCACCAUCAUCACUCCCUGACCGCAGCUGCCCAAAUAUUACCCCUCUCUAAGGCCACGUCCUCCAGCCAUUCUACACUCUCAGGUCACACUGGCACGCUAUUAAAUCACGCUCUUGACCACUCCCCAGUCACACCCUAUGACUCUUAAGUCCUGCUCUCAGGUCACUCUGGCUGUGCUGUACCUUCCAUGCUCAUUACCACCAAUUCCUGAACAGUCUAUGCUUCACCCCAUAGUUGAAGCUCACCCGAAUAAGUUAAAAGCCAAAAUACAGACUCAAACCAUGAUUGUGUGGCAUCAGAAACUAUAAUACAGGACAUGUAGCACAGUUGAUUAUUGGACUUUUCUCUCAACCACAUGCAAGAUUAUUCUGGACUGUUCAGGGUUGUAUGCUUACUCCUGAGUUAGAAGACAGGUUUAAGAAGUCUCUGACAGAUUCACACCAAGUGAGGUACUCUGUACACUCCAACAUCGCUCAUCCUGAGCCAUCUACAGUUACAGCCUGGUACCAACAAGCUCAUCACCCAGAAACAAAGCUCAUCUGGUUGAGCCACAGGACAUUAUACAUGGCUAGCUAGGCUUUUUGUUUUGGGGAAUUUUUACUUUUGUAUGCGUCGUUAAAACACACAGAUUCAAACCUAGGCCAGGCUGCAGGAGAAGCCCUGAUGCUAACCACUACACCACCACAGAACAGCUUAGGAGGCUGUUGUUUAUAGGAUUUUUGUCUUAAUAAAUGGUGAAGCCAGUAAAAUGUUAAAUCUAUAGCAGAGACAUCCAGAUUCAAGAUUCACUGCCUCAAAACAAUAGCAGUGUAGUGGUUAGUGUGUGUGGUUCUUGGAUCAAGUGUAAUGUAAACAUGUAAACAAUUCAGUGUUGCUCACUGGACCAUUUAUUAAGACAAAAGUCCAAGCAUUGAGUUUAGCCUUGUCCUCUUUGUGGUGUAGUGGUUAGUGCCGCAGGUUCUGGUACAUAUGAUUGCUGGAUCAAAUCUUACAGUUUUUGCGUUAGUGUUAGAGCAGGGUUAAUUGGAUGAAGGUGAAAUGUUCUACACUGCCCCUGGCCGGUACAACGUCCUGUGGCUCUUGUGGAUGAGCAUAGCCUCCAGAUUGAGAGGUCGCGGGUUCAAAUCCCCUUUCAGGACUGAUGGAUUUGGAGGAGGCUGCAUGCCCGGGAGAGGCUUAGAUGCUUGAGAAAGGAAAGAGGUGUUUGUGGCAAUGCAUGGUGUUGAAGGGCAGGUGUGUGGAGUGUUGUGUAGGAUGUUGGGGUGGCAAGUAGAGUGAGGUAGACGCUCUGUGGCUGAGGCAAG